This 36395-nucleotide long non-coding RNA is filed under the name Capsicum annuum. Its description in RNAcentral is "long non-coding RNA (CANN_LNC021847)". The record is from RNAcentral. Lineage: Eukaryota; Viridiplantae; Streptophyta; Magnoliopsida; Solanales; Solanaceae.
ACAGAAAGAUGUGUGUCUUCACUCCACUCCACCCCAUACUUCCAUCUAAUAAAAGUGGCUACUUUUCCUUUAUUCAUCUACUUGCUUCCUCACAGCAAUAGGAAUUCUAACAAAAUGUUUGCCAUCACUCCAUGCCAAACUUCCAAAGGUAAAUUUACCACUUCUUUGGUGAGUAGAUGUGAUCUUUACCUUAAAGGAGAUCUUCUUUGUCUUGGCAUUAAACUUCAAGACAUCUGGAGUUACUUUAAUAGCAACGUUUCUCGGAGGUUUAACCACUAAUUUGUAUAUAGAGUUAACAUUUCCAACAUUAGUAACAGUUCUCUUGAUAGUAACUGAAUCCUUGAGAUUUGGAAUUGAUAUUGAAGGGAGAUUCAUAUCCAACCUUGACGGUACUACUUUGGGACACACAAUGCCUGCUGAAGAAGUAGAAUUUUUCUUGUCUGAAUAAUACGUAGUUACAUUGUAAACCCUAUCAUAACUAUAGCCCAAACUGCAAAGAUAAUUCGAAUAAUCAUUUUUCUCCAUAUCAUAAAUUAAACCAGGAUCUGCUGCUCCAUUUGGAUUGCAUAUGCCACCUCCAAAGUCAAAUGGAUCAGCAAAAUCUCCUCCAGUUCCUUCUGAAAAAAUUUCAGCUUUAUAUGUAUCCUCGUUCCAUGCUACACAGUUCACAGAAAAUUUCAAUCAGUAAAUACAUAAACAAAAAUGUUGAAAAGAAGGAAAGACUAUAUAUUUUGCUCAAGAAUUUAGUUGAUGUACGAUAGCAUUGUAAAACCUUUUGAGCAUGAUGGGAUUAAUUAAUUAAAGUGAUGUAUAACAACAUGAAAUACUAAUUUAAGUUUAAUUUGGUAGUAAGCAACCUUGUUAUAACUUAUAAUAUGUUAAAAUAUAUUAGUAGUGUAUAAAUAAUAAAUGUAAGGUAAAUCAUUUUGUCAAUGUGUUGACAGUAUUUGUGUUCUUUUAUGUUAAAUUAAUGUAUAGCAAUGAGAACUUUUCAUAUAGAAUUCGCUAAGGUAAUUUAGUAUACUAUAAUAAGUCGAAUUGUGCUAUUAAUGUAUAGAAUUUAAAUUUAUAAGAUAUUACCUGUUGUCAUGAGUGCAGACUUAAUAGCUGUUGGAGAUCAAUUAGGAUGUGCAGCUUUGAGGAGUGCAACAAUUCCUGCGACAUGAGGGGCUGACAUGGAUGUUCCUGACGCGAGUUUGAAUCCAUUGUAUCCUCCAGCAGCAGGUGGAAAUGCUGCGAAUAUAUUAACACUAGGAGCUGCAAUAUCAGGUAAUAAUAUUUAAGUAAAAUUUAUAAAUCACUUAAAAAAAUAUAAUAAAAUAAUUCAAUGAGAGAAUAAAAAUUGUUAAAUCAUUUUAUAUUUACCUUUAGAAUUUCUGGAGCAAAGGAAUUAGGGCCUCUUGAGGAGAAUCUAGGCACUGUUAUGUAUGUCUUCUUGCCCUUAAGAAUUUUAGUUUGUCCAUAUUUAAUUAUUGGAUCUUGAUUGAUGUUAAAAAUGAUGAAUCAAUUUAGUGAUCUAUAAUAACGCAAGUAAAAAAUUAAAAGUAUUUUGACGUGAUAAAAGUUUUUUUUAAAAUAAAAAAUUCCUUGUUUCUCAGAAAAUAAAUAUUUUUCUCAAUUUAAAAAUUUCCUCUCGCGUUAGUCGGAGAGUGAAUAAUAUUUUUAAGAAAAAUGUUUAUAAAGAUUGAUAAUAAUAUUAGCACCGACUAAUGCUUAGUAAAAAUUAUAAUUACUACUGACUAUUACUAAUAAUAUUUAAGUGUUGGUUUAAAAUAGUGACAUGAAUAUAAGAGUUGAGACAAUUGCUCGUGAUUUCCAUCCAAGAGCAAGGAAAGUUGUUUUUCUUUUUUUCGUAAAAUAUCUUUUCCAUUUUUAAUGACUUGACUUCUAAAAAUAUUUUACCUCAUAUAAGAUAUGGCUUAAAAUAUUCAAAAAUAGAAAAAAAAAAAAAAAAAAAAAAAAAAAAAAAAAAAAAGUAAAAACAAGAAGUAUCAAAAUAGGAGAAAUAUAUGCUUACUUCGAUAUACAAUGUUGAAUAUAGUCAAAAAUUUGAUUUCCUUGCUCAAAAUCAACCAUAAAAAAUGACAUAUUAUUUUGAGAAAUUUGAUUAAAGCCAUUAAGUUGAUCAGCAGGGAGUGUAGCACAAAUAUAAGCCAAAAGUCCUGUUUACUUUAGAUGCAUUACAGACAUUUCUGCGUCGUCUUCCUUUUGAAAGAAAAGUAGUAGAACUUUUCCUUUUAAUCCACUGGCAAUAGACUUAAUGUCUUCAACUCUGCAAUUGGAAAAAAGCAAGCAUUAAUAUAUAUUUGAAAAAUGCCUUUGCUGAGAAGCUAAAAUCGCUUUACCUCUAAAGUGAAGAAUAGGUCUAUGACAUCCUAUCCUCCUCUGACCUCAUUUUUUGGAUUAUAUAGAGUAUGAUGUUGUUGUGCUUUAAGUAAGAAAUAAUUUAUUUUUAAUUAAUAAACUUUAAAAAGCAUUUUUAAGAAACAAUCGAUGUUUGACCAAUUUUUUCUAAGAGUACCUCUCAGUUGUUUUUGUCCAAAGUGUUUUUCAAAAAUAUAUUUUUGGAGAAAAGUAAUUUUUUUUUUUUAGCCUCUAAAAACAAUUUCUACUUAUCAAUCACCAUAAUAUUUAUUUUCUCCUAAAAAAAAUAACGAAACUCCUCUAUAUUUUUUGAAACAAAGAAUAAACUGUUGUAAAGUGCAUUAACUAGACGAUGCAAUAUACAUUUCACUUACUUCGUUACAUUCGCUAAAGUGACCAAAGGAGCAAAGCCGUGCCCCUUCCCUUUAAUAAGUCCCGAAGCCUACAAUCACUCCAAAGGUGUUAAAAUAUGUACUAGUAUAAAUGAUUAUUUGAAUAACAGUUGAUGCAUUUUGUUAUUAUUUAAUAAUUUUAAAAAUUAACUUUAUACAUAAAAUCGAUUUUUUUUAAAGAAGUAAAAUAAAAUUAAAAUCCCAACCUUUGGAGGUUUGUAUUUUUCAAAAUUAGUUUUCUUAAUUGACUGAAGUUUAUUGACCUUUGAUAUGUGAUCGAUUGGGUCUAUUGGGCAAAAAGAUACUCUGUCAAACCAUAUUUAACAUUUUACCACAAGUUUUAAAACUUUUAAUAAAUAUCAAUUAUUUAGGACACCAUCAAUCUCACUUCCAAAGUAACAACUUCUAGCCUCAAAUUUUUAAUACUGAUAUUUGAUAUGAGGCCAGUUUGUUGUUGAUUAUAUUUAAAAAUGUAACUGCAUUAAGUGAAUUAGCUAGAUAAAUUAUUGACAUAUUUUUCUUCAAAAUGAAGUUUUAAGAAAACAAAAGAAUUUACUCGUAUCGUCUUGUUGUUGCCAAGUGUUAAAGGAGUAACAAUUUCUCUAUUGAAACUGCUACUAGCAACACUUAUCACCCACGGAGAAGUAGCACCAACUGUGUAAGAGGUCGGUCCACUAUUUCCUCCACUAGCAAUAAAAGAUCUACCAUACGAUACUGCAUGAAAAGAUCCUAUCCCAAAUAAUGUAUCCUCAUUAAUGUCAGCAUAAUUGACUGCACCACCACCACCACCAAUAGAUAUUGAUAUUACGUCAACUCCAUCUUUUAUAGCAUCAUCAAUGGCGGCAAGAACAUCGAUAUUACUAAUCAUUUCACCAUUUAUACCGUUCCAGACUACCUGUUUAAAAUAUUAUAAAUAAGUAAAAGAAUUAUAUAGAUUCUCUAACAUCUAAAACUUUUAGAUAAGAGCAUCGGAGCUCAACAAAGAAGGUUUUUGGUUUAACUUUCACUAAUUAUCCAUUAUUUAGAUAUGGGGAUUAUUGAACAUUAUGGGUGUUAGGGUUCUACGGCAGUAAAUUUGAUCAUUGAAUUCAUAAUCGACUAUUUACAUUUAUCAUCGGAAGUUUUUAAACUCAAAUUCAAUAUUCAAGUUAAAAUUAUUGAAUUUAGAUGAAUCCAUAAAAUAUACGCUACAUCCAUCAAUAUAUUAUUUAAAAGCUAAGAAUAUUGAUUUGUUUGGUUAAUAAAAAUGGAUAAAAUCUAGAUGAGUUGAAACUAUGAUUAAAUACAUUUAUAAAAUUACUUUAAACUUUUAAUUGAGAAAGAUAACUACACAACCAAUUCAAAAAUGAUACCUUAUAAAUAGCUAACCGUGCAAGUGGUGCUCCUCCUCGUGUUGUUCCCAUAUUAACACCAUGGUAUUCCACAUUGUUAAUAUAAGAACCAGCAGUUGUAUAUGCAACAUGAGUACCAUGUCCGUCAUCAUCUAUUGGUGAUAAGUCAUUAAAUUUUUUAACAAUUGUUUGAUUUAUUUCGAGAUUUUCCAUUGAUCCUUUUACGUACCAACGAACUCCAAUGACUUUUCGAUUACAAUAUUUUGUUGCAGUAAAAUUGCCUUCAGAUUUGCAGCUACCUUUCCAUCGAGAUGGAAUUGGACCUAGGCCUUCAUCAUUAAAAGCUUUCGAAUCAUCUCCCCAUGCAAUCAAUACCUACAAAAUGUUGCUGUUUUUUUUUUUUUUAAUAUUUAACUUCUAUGCACAAAUCAUGUAAAACAUCAUGAUACUUGAAGAUAAUUUUCUAUAUGAUUGUAAGGAGGAAGAAAUAUUAAUAAUUAACUUAUUAUAACUAGAUAAAGUACAUCAAUAAUGUAAAAAUAUAUUUUUACAAUAUUAUUUGUGCAUAAUAUUUAAAUUCCCUUUUGAUAAGAUCAUUAGUUGUAAGACAUAUUUUAUUUAUUUAAGAAAAAAGAACCAAAAAAUGAAAAAAAGAAAAGAAAAGAAAGGGAGACACUAAACCUGAAUCUAUUAUGCCAAUAAUUAUUCCAUCACCUUGAUUUGUUUUGUUCACAAGACUAUUGGGGUCAUGCUUAGAAAGACCCAAAAAGUCCCAACUCCUUGAGGUAUGAGUCUUGUAAAAUUGAUUUGGUAUAACUUGAACCACAUCAGGUAAUUCUGAAGUAUAAUUACAAUACAUAUAUCAACGAAGAGUCAUAUAAUGAAUAAAAUCUUUAAUUUUUCAUAAAAUUAUUUUAUUUCCUUUUUUUAAUAAUUUUUCUGACUAUUAGUUAAGAUAAUUCAAAUACCUCCAAUUUGUUUGGCUUGAGAAUCAGUAAGCUUAGCAGCGAAGCCAGAGAAACCAUGUCUAUAACUAUACAUCAUCAGUUUUUUAGCUUCUUCCUUGCUGCAUGACAAGAAAAUACGAUUUUAAGUUUUAAAUAAUGAAAUAUAUGAAAUAAUAUUUUCGCAAUUUGUAGGGUCAUUAGAGGUAAAUAUUUCUAUGAUAGGCUUUAAUAAUUUUUUUGGUUAAAAUAGAUUCUACUACAUUUCAUUGGUUAAAUUUAUAAAUUUCAUUGCAGCCACUUGACCUAAAAGUUCAUGAUGUGAAUUGGUAAUAAGUUCAUAAUUAUUGUGAGGUUUGUGUCCCAAGUAAACCACGUAAAACUAUAGAUCAAAAGAAUAUCGUCAAAAAACAAAUUAAUCAAUGAGAGAUUAAUAUUCAUUAUGGUCAAUAAACAAAUAUAAGGAGAUUCUAAGCUAACUUCUUAAAUCACGCAUUCCAAUGGUCCAAAAUACUACUCCCUCUAUUCCACUUUAGUUAUUGUAUUUAUCUAAUUUUAAAGUCUAUUAUGGACAAAUGUGGAUUUUGGUUAAUUAUUAUUUUGACACUUAAUUUCAUUGAGUCAUUUAUUUAUCUCCAUAUUACUAUUUACUUGGCUUCUGCAAUGUUAUUAUGAUGAUUAUUGUGCUUUUGAGGUUGGGUUAAGGGGAUGAUCUUCGAUCUUGGUGGAUUAAAAAUUAUUAUUUAAAUAUAUUUGUUAUUUUAGAAAAUAUUUAAGGAAAUAUUGAUUAUCUUUUGCAUUUAUUUUCUCUCACUUUAUUAAUAUUGAUAGCAUUAUCUGCAUUUUUGCAAGUAAUAUUUUCUCUCAAGAAUAUCUAAAAUGUACCUUAGCAUCGGCAUUAUCUGCUUUUGUUGUUAUUUCACAUAAACACGUAAAAAUUAACAGAAGACAUAAAAUAACAAGGGAAAAAGUUGGGUUAUUCAUCAUUUUUGCUUCCCUCCUUUCAACAGAAAAUAUGAAAGGGAGAAGAUAACCCAACUUCAAAAUCAAAUUUGGUUAAUGAAAUUAGAAAAAUAAUUGCAAUGUAUUAAUCAUUAAAUAGCUUAAACUCACCACACAGAGUAGAAAAAUUAAUUUGUGGCUAGUAUAUUAAGCGUAAAUAGUAGCCACUCACUCGAAUACAAGUAGAUAAAUUAUUCUAUUUUUACUCCUUUAAAAAUGGUAUAUAUAUAUAUAUAUUUUGAAUUUUUUAGAACGUAUACUUUCUAUUUUCAUAUGAGUGAUUAAGAGCAUAAGAAAGGAUUUUGGAGUUCUAAUCACCAUUGUUUUUCCUCAUAAUGGCACUUAGGAUUUAUUUAUAUAUGAAGUUAAAUUUAUGGUCAAGUUGAGCCACGUUUGAGAAAUAGAAAAAGAAAUCUUUUAUAUGUUAUGCUAAGAAAUAUUCUACUUAAAAUUCAACUUAGUUUUUUUUUUUCGGCCAAAAAUAUGAGUUAUUAUUCUUUUUUAUACUAACAAACUAUUUCAAUAACUUUUAUAAAAUAGUAUAUAACUAGUUAUAUUGGAAAGGGUCAAAAUCAUUUACACCCUCGAACUUUGUUGUAAAAAUCAAACACCCCCUCAACUUUGAACAAUAAUCAUUCUCCCUCCUUUUUCUUAUUUGAUUUUUCAAAAUACCUACUUUACCCUUUUAUUUAUAUCAACAUUUGAAUAUUUAAAAACAAUUUUAUUUUUAUAAACACAAUUUUUAUUUUUAAUCUAUAUAACAUAUUUUCUAUAAAAAGCUAAAGGUUAUUUUUUAGAUGAAAAAAUAAAAGUGAGAAAUAUUAAUUGAGUAUAUAAGUUAAUGACAUUCUAUAAUGAAAUAAAUGAGCAAAAUAAUAAAAAUUAAUUUUAUUAAAAGUAAAAAUUCUAAUAUCUAUUUAUACGUGAAAAUAAUAGGUAAUUAUAUUUUUAUAAAUAUAUUUCAAUGCAGGUAAUACAAAUUAAUUAAUAGUCGAGGGUCCUUCGAAAACAACUUAUCUACCUCCCCACGGUAGUGGUAAGGUUUGNNNNNNNNNNNNNNNNNNNNNNNNNNNNNNNNNNNNNNNNNNNNNNNNNNNNNNNNNNNNNNNNNNNNNNNNNNNNNNNNNAAUCAAAAUAUGUAUCUAUAUACAUAAUUAUAUAUACACACAUACACACUUAAUACCUAUAAUAUAAAAAUAUUGAAUGUAAAAAAUACCAUUAGAUUUUGUAAUUAAUUUAUAAAAGAAUUUACUAAUAAUGUAAACAAAUUUAAAUAAAAAUAAUAAAUACAUCGGUUAUGAAAGAUAAAUAUAUAUAAUAUAAAAAAAUAUUAUAUAAACAUAAGUUUAAAAAUAUUAAGGGUAAAAUAGUAUUACAUAGUGAAAAGGGGGGAGAAUGAUUGUUACUCAAUACUAAGGGAGGUGUUUGAUUGAUUUUCACCUCAGUGAAAUCUCCUAAGUGAGGUAUGAGGAGGGUAGAGGUACGCAAACCUUACCACUACCUCAGAGAGGUCGAGAAGUUGUUUUCGAAGGAUCCUCUACUAUUAAUUAAUUUGUAUUACCUGCAUUGAAAUAUAUUUAUAAAAAUAUAAUUACCUAUUAUUUCGUUAUAGAAUGUCAUUAAUUUAUAUACUCAAUUAAUAUUUAUCACUUUUAUUUUUUCAUCUAAAAAAACCUUUUAGCUUUUUAUACAAAAUAUAUUAUAUAGAUUAAAAAAUAAAAAUUGUGUCUAUAAAAAAGUUUUUUUUUAAAAAAAAAUUCAAAAGUUGAUAUAAAUACAAGGGUAAAGUAGGUAUUUUAAAAAAUCAAAUAGAAAAAAGAAGUGAGAAUGAUUAUUAUUAAAAAUUAAGGGGGUGUUUGAUUUUUACAACAAGAUUGGGGGUGUAGAUGAUUUUAACCCUAUUUGGAAAUAUGGGAUCUCAUAAUUAUGAGUUCCUGCACAAUUGCUUAAGUGACCAAAUGGAUCACAACAACAAGAAGAUACCAAUAUAUUCACUUAAAAUGGGAUAUGGGGAGGGUAAUUUAAAAGUGAGAUAAAGAGAUUGUUUUCUAUAAACUUUCAAGUCAAGAAAAAAAAAACAGUACCAAUUUCUUAUAGUUUGGAUGAAGAUAAUAUUAUAUUAUUGAACUCAAAUCAAUACUUUGAAACCAGUACCUACAUGUAUAAUAUAUAUUCAACCUCCUUAAAUUUUAUCUUUUAAUCAUUUGUUAGUUAGUAACCAAAAUAAAAAAAAAUCGUUUCUCAGUUCUUAAUCAAUCUAUAAAACUUGGUGAAAAUUUCAGGAAUUGCCUUUCAAAAUGCAUAAUUCUUCAGCCAAUCACAAGACUUUUUACUUUACAUGCACGACGUUAUUCAUAGUGAGUAUAGCACUUCACAAGGCAAAUUCCAAAAUUAGUCACACAAUAUGUACUUUUUGCCCAACAUGUGUUUGAUUUUCCAAAAGUACAUGGAGGUUUGCGUGAAGAAUAUUUAAGGAAAAAUUUCAAAAAUAACAACUCUGUAGCUUUAAUUAUAACUUUUAUAAUAACAGUUUUAUAAUUACGAAAAAUAGUAAAUUGUAUUUAUAUUUAAGUAAAAUGUUGCUAUAUAAAUACAUAUACAAAUAUGUAUAUGUAUUACUCAUAAAUACAUAUGCAUGACUGAAAAAUACAUAUUCUUCUAUUACUAUGAAGUGGGUAAAAUAUUGCUACUUUUGCUAUAAGUUACAAUUUUGAAGAAGUGUUGCUAUUUAUUGUAAUUAUAGUCUUAAGGAUGCUAGUUUGUGUAAUUUUUUCAAUAUUUAAAGUGGAUUUUUUGAAUAACAUAGUAUUUCUUGUAAAAUUUCUAGCAUAUCUUAUGUAAAUUCUAGGAUAAUCAUCUUGAAGAAAUAUCUAGAUAUUCUAGGUAAUUAUUCUAGAGAGAGGAAUCUUGAAAAUAUAGUCUACUUGAUAUUUGUAUUUAGGAAAGAUCCAGAUCUUCUAGAGUGUUACAUAUUCAUGGAAGAUGAUAGAAUACUCUAGAUUUGUAGUAUCUAGAAUCAUUCCCACACAAGAAUAAAUAGAGGAUGACAUUAGACAUAUGUAACCAACCAAAAAAUAAAAUCAAUUCAAGUGUAGUCUUUUUCAUAUUAAAGUUCUUCCUUCUUUUUUAAAGCUUCCUCUUCUUAGUUGAAUCUUCCGGUCUUAGUUAACGAUCUUGGGCUAGCAAAAGGUCUUUAUAGCUACACCUUUCUUCUGCUAUUCUCUACAUGGUAUCAGAGCCAAACUCACAAAUUGACUUGUGUCUAUUUCAAAAUCGGGUUUGUGGUUGAUUCAACUGAUUUGUGCAAAUGGAUUUUAGCGGUCGCGUUAGUAGGCUGGGAAUGGAGUUGUUGAAUCAGUCCAAUUACAAGGUAUGCAAGACCUUUAUGGAAUCAUACCUUGUGGGCGAGGAUUUGUGGAAUGUUGUUAACGGGAUUAACACAAGUCUUCCGAAUGACAGACCGGAGAAUAGUAGUGCAUACAAGAAAUGGAAGCAGAUUAAUGCAAAGGCGGAGUUCAUUCUAAAGAGCUCCAUCUCCUCUAAUUUAUUCGACCAUAUUAUAAGGUGUACAUUAGCUCAUGAUAUUUGGAGGACCCUCGACUAGUUGUUCAACAAGAAGAAUUAAGCUCGGCUACAGAUAUUGGAAAAUGAAUUGGCUAACACCACUCAAGGUAAUUUUUCUCGUGCCGAGUACUUUUUAAAAAUUAAGAACUUAUGUUCUGAGAUUUCUUUAUUGAAUACAGACGGGACUAUCUUUGAAGCACGAAUGAGAAGAAUUAUCAUUAGUAGUUUGAAACCAGAAUAUAUUCCCUUUGUGACAUCAAUUCAGGGAUGGGCUCAACAACCAUCCCUGGAGGAAUUUGAGAAUUUGUUGUCAUCAAAGGAGUUACUAGCCAAACAAUUGACUUGUGAAUUUGUCAAAGCAAGGGAAGAAAAUAUUCUUGUAUCCGACAAGAAGAACGUUAAAGGAAAAGUAAGAGAUAUGCCUCACACUCAAUUUUCAAAUGGUUUAAGCUCGACUAGAAAGAAGGAAGAGACUUUUAACAAUUAUACUAAGAAGUCUCUCAGAUGUAUCGGUGUGGCAAAGCAGGACAUAUAAGAAGAUGUUGCCGAGUCAUGAAAAGCAACAUGGUUCAUACUGAAAAAAUUGUUGAAGAAUAAGAAGGUUGGGAAAGAUGCUUAGAAGCUGAGAGUCGAGCAAUAAAUGCAUUAUUUUCAUAAUUUUGGAAUGAGAUUGGAUCGGAUAUAAUACAAUGCAUUAUGUGGAGCAGGAAGGCACCUAUAAGAAGUAAGAUGAUAUUAAAUACGUUCAUACUGGAGAUGUGGUAGCUGCUAUCAAUGAAAUCAAAGAAGCAGAUCCUAAAAAUGACAAUAAAAGUCUAAACAUGGAGGAUAUUGAAGUAGACUCUGAGCAGACAAUUUUUGAAACUCUAUAUGCUAGUGAUGACUUUAUCGGAGUAAGCAUUAAGAGAGAUAUAGUUGAAGUCUCUGAUCAAUCAUCUAUGGUAUCAAGAUCAAUUAAUAACUCAAAACAAAUAUUGAAAGUUGAUGAGUAAACUAAAGGUCAAGAAAAAGAAGAAGUUGACCGUGUAGACUCAGAUGGAGAAAUGGAUGAUGAAGAGGUUGAUACUGAUGAAAUUUCUUUGUUCUUUGUAGUUGUAUCUGAAGAAGAGGGUUCUAAAAUAUUGAACCCAAGAUUUUCAGAUUUGUCCAUGAGAAAUGAUUCUUCAAAGAAUAUAGUUGUUAAGGAGUUCAGAGAAAGAGGGAACUCGAAAACUCAACAACAUGAAACUCGACAACGACUAUUUUUUGAGAAACAAUUAACUUUUUAAUAAAAAAAAGACUUCUAUCCCGUCAAGGUACUUUUAAUUUUUUACUUGCUUUAUUAUAGAUCACUGAAUUGAUUCAUCAUUUGUAACAACAAUCAAGAUCCAAUAAUUAAAUAUGGACAAACUGAAAUUCUUGAGGGCAAGGAGACAUACAUAAAAGUGCCUAGAUUCUCCUCAAGAGGCCCUAAUUCCUUUGCUCCAGAAAUUCUAAAGGUAAAUAUAAAAUAAUUAAAAAUUUAUAUCUUCUUUUAAUUUAAUAAUUUCUCUCAUUGAAUCAUUUAUUAUAUUUUUUUAAAGUGUUUUAUAAAUUUUACUUAAAUAUUAUUUCAGCUCGAUAUUGCAGCUUCUGGUGUUAAUAUACUCGCAACAUUUUCUCUUGCUGCUACUGAUGGAGGAUACAAUGAAUUCAAACUCAUGUCAGGAACAUCCAUGUCAGCUCCUCAUGUUGCAGGGAUUGUUGCACUCAUCAAAGCUGCGCAUCCUAGUUGGCUUCUGCUGCUAUUAAGUCUGCACUUAUGACUACAAGUAAUAUCUUAUGAAUUUAAAUUGUAUAUAUUGAUAACAGAAUAUAACUUAUUAUAGUAUAUUAAAUUACCAUAUCAAAUUUGAUAUGAAAAAUUUUCGUUGCUAUUCAUUAAUUUAACAUAAAAGAACACAAAUACUGUCAUUGCAUUGAGAAAAUGAUUUACCUUACAUUUAUUAUUUAUAACUACUUAAAUAUUAUAACAUAUUAGUAUAAGUUAUAACAUGUUGCUUACUACCAAAUUAGACUUAAAUUAGUAUUUCAUGUUGUUAUACAUCAGUUUAAUUAAUCCCAUCAUGCACAAAAGGUUUACACUGUUAUCAUACAUCAAUUAAACUCGUGAGCAAAAUAUAUAGUCUUUCCUUCUUUUCAGCAUUUUUGUUUAUGUAUUUACUGAUUGAAAUUUUCUGUGAACUGUGUAGCAUGGAACGAGGAUACAUAUAGAGCUGAUAUUUUUUCAGAAGGAACUGGAAUAAAACUUGCUGAUCCAUUUGACUUUGGCGGUGGCAUAUGUAAUCCAAAUGGAGCAGCAGAUCCUGACUUAGUCUAUGAUAUGGAUAGAAAUGAUUAUUCGAAUUAUCUUUGCAGUUUGGGCUAUAGUAAUGAUAGGAUUUACAAUGUAACUAUGUAUCAUUCGGACAAGAAAAAUUCUACUUCUUCAGCAGGCAUUGUGUGUCCCAAAGAAGUACCUUCAAGGUUGGAUAUGAAUCUCCGAGAAAUGUUGCUAUUAAAGUAACUCCAAAUGUAUUGAAGUUUAAUGCCAAAACCAAGAGGAUCUCCUUUGAGGUAAAGAUCACAUCUACUUACCAAAGAAGUGGUAAAUUUACCUUUGGAAGUUUGGCAUGGAGUGAUGGCAAACAUUUUGUUAGAAUUCCUAUUGUUGUGAGGAAGCAAGUGGAUAAAUAAAGAAAAUGUACCAACUUAACUUUGGAGGUAUGAGGUGGAGUGAUGACACAUAUCUUGCUGUGUACGGGGGUGGAUCUAGGGGGCUCGGGGUGUUAUCCUGAACCCCUCGACAAAAAAUUACAUUUUGUAUGUAGGGUAACUUUUUAUGUGUAAAUAGAAAUAUCAAAUUCUCUCAACACAAGACUACAUGUUGGUUUAGUGAUUUACGGAAUUAGAAAUUCAAUUUGAGGUUCCCAUUUCAAAUAUCUAAUUAUGCAUUUUUGUUUUCCGAACGUUCUUAAUGAAAAUUCUGAAUCCCGCACCAAAUUUAUGUGUGAGUACUUUUUUAUUUCCACAAGAAAGCAAGUGGAUGUUCAAACAACUUGAAAAAAAUGCAUGAUGAGCCUGCUGUUCAACCCCCCUCCCCCCUUCCCCUACUUCAGUUCGACUUUAACAUAUAUGACUUUCAAUAUUCCAUGUGGGUAGAGAAACCUCACAGUUCCAUGUGUCUACAAGCUCACAUAUAUAAUGAUAAUUCUGGCUCAAACUAUCUGUUAAUCGAGUCAAUAGAAAUAUUAGAUGUAUAUCAUGAAACCUCGUAAUAUAGUAGCAGAGGUAGUCUGAAAAUUUCAUAAUUGCUAUAAUGGAGUGCUGUUAUAUAUACACGUUAUUGUAUAUUGACAUUUAAUGGUUAAAUUUCAUUUAAUUAUUAUAAAGAAAAUUAUGCAAAAAUUAGUUUAAUGAUUGGGUAUCAAGACGAACGAAUAUAUUUGGUCAAUAAUUAAUCUGUGUCAUGGAUAUAAAACACCUAUUAAAAUAUUGAACCAUAUAUAGAAUCAAAUGUAUUUGCCAGGCGGCUUUGAUUUCUCACUUCCAGACACUAAUGUUCAAGUCAAAAAAAAUGAUUAUGUCCAAGGGAAUAGGGAAAACAUUCGAAGAGAUUUGUUCGGAUGGUAAACAUGCUCACUUUUAAUUUUGAGGUAAUGAUCAGUUUGAAGGGACAACAUAAUUUUUAAAUCGUAUCCCAUCAAGAUAAUAGGAAGAUUGCUCAGAUGAUAAGUACCCUCCAUCUUUAAUUUUGAGGUUGACUUAAAAUCACCAAUGAAGCUGUCAAGAUCCUAAAGUUGAGGUCAUGAAUCAUGAAGAUACUCACCGAGACCCAACGCUGAUGAGUAAGUCGAUUCACUAAAGAAAAAAUCAAGAACUGAAAUUAAAGCAAGACAAAUGAGAAUUCUAGAAUGAAAUCAAGGAUAAAUUACACAAAUCCCAUACUUAAGAGAGACUAUAUUACCUAAUAUCUCUUACUUUUUAAAAUAUUUUUAAAAAUUUACAUAAAAUCCCCUUUUUCAACUUUACUUUGAUAUAUAUAUAAAAAAAAGAGUAAAUACAUAAUUACACCACUGAUCUUGUCCGAGAUUUUCGAAAAGACACCUAAACUUUGACAUCAACCUAUUACCCCACGAUUUUUCUUUAUUUCAUUGCAAACGCACCAUUUUUCGCUGAAUCUCAGUCACAACAAAGUGAGUGAAGACACACGCCAAUCAGGUGCUUCCACGUGUCAACUACGUUUAAUUUCAUAUUUUUUUAAUAAAAUUUUUCUUUUUAUUUAAUUUAACACCCCACCCACCCCCUUUUCCCCCCAAUCCAGCACCUCUCCUCUCUCCCCCUGCAUCAACAGCUCCCCUCAACCCCCACCCCAAUUNNNNNNNNNNNNNNNNNNNNNNNNNNNNNNNNNNNNNNNNNNNNNNNNNNNNNNNNNNNNNNNNNNNNNNNNNNNNNNNNNNNNNNNNGUUUUUUUUUUUUAAAAAAAAAAGCUUCAAUGGAGGAGCUUUAAUGGUGACAUUGUGUUGAAGAGCUUUAAUGGUGUUGAAGAAGACAUUGUGUUGAGAAAGAAAUGGUGGGUAGUUAAAUGAUAUGAUUUAAUUGUAAAAUAGAGCUUUAAUGAAUGAUUUCAAAAAAAAAAAAAAAACUUCAAUGGAAGCUUUAAUGGUGAAUUGAGUUGGAGAAGAAAGAGUGGGUGGGUUGGGGGGAGAGGGGUAGGGAUAAUUUUAUAAAAUAAAUAGAUAUUAUUUAAAAAAAAAUAUAAAUUAUAUAUCAAUUAUUUUACACGUGGCAGAUUUUGAUUGGUCCAAAAAGUCAAAUUCGAUCCCUUUCAAGCGCCUGUGGCGCGUGUAUAUACGCAGAGGAUCAAAAUGAUGUGUUUGCAACGGAUUAAGUAAGAAUCGUGGGGUAAUAAGUCGAAUUCAAAGUUUAGGUGUCUUUUUUGAAAAUCUCGGCCAACAUUAGUGGGUAAUUAUGUAUUUACUCUAUAAAAAAUCCCAUAUCCUAUUUAUACUCCACCAUUAACUUAUUCAAGAUUUCCUCCCCUAAAAUAUCUCCCUAAUUAUCAACAAUUAAAUCAUCUUCCUUCAUGAUUUUUUCUCUUCCAUUGAUGCUUAAAUAAUCUUCCUUCCUGAUUUUUUCUCCUCCAUUAAUGUGUGCAACUUUUUUUUUCUCUCCUAAAAUCUCUCCCAUCUUUUUUAAAAAAAAUCUAUUGAUACAUAUAUAAAUCUAUUUAGUUAUUCAUACAUGUUUAUUUUUUUAAUGGUGAUUCAUAUGAAUGAUAAAUAUGAUAUCAUUAUAUAGGUAUUAUGGUGAAUCAUACGAUAGAUACAUUUUGUAUGAUUUUAAUGGGUGAUACAUAUUGUAUUAUGGUGAUUCAUAUGGUAGAUACAAUUAUUUAUUUUAAUUAUUGGGUGAUUCAUAUGGUAUUAAUGGGUGAUAUAUAUGGUAUUAUGGUGAUUCCUAUGGGUGAUACAUAUUGUAUUAUGGUGAUUCAUAUGAUAGAUACAAUUAUUUAUUUCAAUUAUUGGGUAAUUCAUAUAUAUGAUAUUAUGGUGAUUCAUAUGGUAGAUAAAAUUAUUUAUUUUAAUUAUUAGGUGAUUCAUAUGAUAUUAAUGGGUGAUAUAUAUGGUGUUAUGGGUGAUUCAUAUGUUAUUAAUGAAAGGUAAUGGUGUAGUCAGUGUAGGAAACAAAAGUAACAAUAUUUUUUUAAAAAAAGACUAAAAGCAGAAUUGAAACAUAAUUAAAAUUAUAUCUAAAAAAGUAGACUAAAAUUAAAGACGAAAAAAAAGAGAAAAAAGACCCCAAAAAUAUAUCUUUCAUAAUUAAAGACGAAAAAAGAGAAACAUAAUUAAAACACCCAAAUUAAAUUUAAAAAAACAACAGAAAAAUUAGAUAACUUUUCUUAAAUAAAAGAAUACAAUGAAUAAAAGAGAAUCUAUUAUUUUCUUAAAUAAAUAUCUUGUUAAUUUAAAAUGUAUCACUUUUUUAUAUGUAUCCCCAUAUAACACAUGUAUCACAUUUCAAAAAAUCGAGAUAAAAUGUGAUUAACAAAAUAGUCAGGAUUUUAUGUAAUAGCACUUAAAGAUUCAGGAAUUUAUGUAAGUUACCCAUCAAGUAAACCCAUAUACCUAAAACUGAAGUCUGAAUGAUAUACAUAAAUCCUCCAACAUCUAGUGUCAUAAGUGUAGAGCAUCUAAAUACAAUUCAGGAAAUAUAGAAAAUAUUAUAUCUGCUUCUGAAAAUGAGAAAAGAUAUCUAGAUAGAUAAGAAGAGGUUAGGAGUCAACUCUGAAAUCCUAGAGCAUGCCAGUACCUCUACCACUAACUCUAAUAAGCACGAACUCGGCUACUGCACCUCAUACUUGUUGAUACAAGUAUGAUCAUGAUCAUGACACUUUUGAGUAUUUUUGAAGACUAGUCACUAAAGGGCUCUUUUGUCAUUUCUCUGUUAUUUGUAAUGUUGUAUAAAUAGAACCUUGUAGGGUUUAUUUUCUUAGUUUAUGUUUGAGAUUGUAAGAACACUCCUUUUGUGAGAGAGAACUCCAAAACCGAAAUUAGGGCAUAGCAUAGGCCUCAGUUAAGUGCCGAGUUUGGCGUAGUAUUCAUUUACACUUCAGGUCCUCAUGUUUUAACCCUUUAGUGAACUCUCCUUAUGAAAUGAUGUAGUGAUAAACGAUUGCUUAGAUGGAAUAGAGUAAAUAUUUCAUGAUAAGGAAAGAUUUUUUUUGCAUGCUUAUUUUACACGAGGCUGUGGUUAUGAAAAUAGGCUUGAAUAUCAGGUUAGUGUGCUAAGUAAAUGGCAAGCAAGAAGUUGUAUUUAGUUGUUGAAGGGAGAGAAAUCAAAAUUUUUCUUGAGAUGAUAAGUUGAGAAAAUGCCGAGUGUGAGUGUCUAUUCUGAUCCUCAAUUUAUGUCAGUAUCUAUCACGCAGUUAUCAUAACCUAGUAUUCAGUUCCACUACAGUCUCAGUUACCUUCAUAGUUACAACCUCAGUCCCAGUCUUAGUUCAGUAAUCAGAUCAGUAACUCAGUUCAGUUUCAAGUUUGCUUGACCAUAGCGUACAGUUAUCAACUAUUCAGUUAUCAGUAUUUCUGUAACACCCCACAUUUUGGACUAGAAUGAAAAUCCAUCAUUCAUAUACGCAGAUGUUCCAAAAGCCUCGAAUCCUAUGUAAAUUUAGUGUGUUAAUCAAUUAUGUAGUGUGGGAAUCUAUUUGAGCAUGAAUUAAGAUCAUAGAGGUCCCCUAACUCAAGGACAAGUUGAAAGCUUUCCUAUCGUUCAAGUUUUAGUGAGCAUCAAAACUUGGAUCAACAUCAAUCGACUAUAAAUCCUUGUAUAUAUUAAAUUAGAGGACCUACUAUAUAUCAAAUAAAAGCUCUUUGAAUUAUCUUUCCAAUGAUACCAAUUUUUCCCAAAUCCGAUAUCGGCGCAAAGAGUUAUGCCCAUUUUACUCCAGCAUGUUAGGCUGGGAAAUGGAGUGAUGACAUUCGUGAUAAGUUAUCACAAGCGUGACGACUUAUCACCAAUGUCGUCAGCCUUAGGCAGAUUUCCACCCCCAGUGAAGAUAUUUUGUGAUAAUUUAUCACGAGUGUGAUGACUUAUCACCAAUGUCAUCAACCUUAAGCAGAAAAUCACAAAUUUCACCCUUUUGUGACGAUAUUUCGUGACGACUUAUCACCAGUCUGAUGACUUGUCAUGAAUGUCGUCAGCUAUUUUUUUCAUCAAUUAAGGGACAUUUUUGCAAGGGUAUUUUGGUCUUUUCCCAUCUUUUGGAGGCCUCUAUAAAUAUGAGAAUUCCCAUCCAAACCCUAAUUUCUUCAUUUUCUCUUCCAAUUCUCUUAAGAGAAUAUAUCUAGGAUUUUAUUCAAGAAUAUUAAUCUUUCAAAAAUCAUCCAUAAAUCUUCAAGAUUUCUUUAAGAACUCAAGAAUUCCUCCGUCAAGUUUCUCCAAAUCAAGAAACUAAGGUAUGCAAAUGUUCAUUUUGGGUCCCUUCCACCCAAGAAGUUCAAAAAUCUCUUUUUAAAGUUCCAAGAUUAUAUUUUUAUGAAUUCUCAUGAGUUAUGUGGUUUGAAGAUGAUUUUCAUGUUGAUAUUGGGUUUUCGUUCAUGUUUUGAUCAUAAAAAUGCAAGUAUUGACUUUAGUGUGUGUGGAUUAUGUGAUGUUCAUGACAAGGUCCCUUCAAGAAGCAUGUUGAAUUAUGUAGGCAUGUUAAUUAUGGGUAAUGAAUUGUUGUAUGACCAAAUUGUGCCUCACAUGUGUAUGCUAGAAUGCUUAUAUGAAGAAAAUAGUACCAUUGUAGUAUACUAAGUAUAAAAUCCCCAAUGUGGUGACAAAUAAAGCAUGCCAAGUGUUUGUUGUUUUGCCAAGAUGAGUGAAGUAUGAUAUGUUGCAUGUACUCCCUAUUCAUGUGUCCUUGUGGAAUAAUUUAUGAGACAAUAGCAUGCCUCUAUAUACAAUCUACAUGGUUGAAUGUUCCCAAGUGCUUGAAGUGAUACGUCCUUGAUCAUGUUCCAAAUUAUAGACUAUUGUUAUGACAUUGGUGGUGAUAGAUUAUUGUUAUGAUGUGAUGUUGGUCAUAUAUUCAAGAGUCAAGUCCUGUCAUUUUACUUCCAUAGAGUCCUGGGGGUACUUAUACCCAAAAUAUAGCUGUGUGCCUAGAGCCAAGUCAGUCUCACGAUAAUCUUUGUCGUGCUAUGAUCAGUAGAACUCAGUCAAUGACUGAACAGUAAGAAAACUCAGUAAUCUCAGUAUUCAAGUUAAUCAAGUUUAGUACACAGUCCAGACCCUAGUAGUGUUCAGUAUUCAGUACAGGUUCUAGUAAAGCUCAGUAAGUUACAAAACUCAGUUGUAUUCAGACAGAAAGUAGAAUUUAGAAGUAUUUCGUCAGAGCACGGAACCAAGCCAACUCAUUUAGAUCAGUCAAGUAAGAUAAUCAAUAACAAUAUUUAACUUAGUCUAAGUUCAGUUAAGAAUCAGUUCAGAGUUUUUCAGUUGGAAGUAGGAGCUAGCACCGAGCGAGUGCAGGAUGGUGGCUUCUCCGUUAGAGAGAUGGAGUCGUUAGCAGCAAUCCCUGUACUCCAGAACUACGUAGCCAGCGCAGGAUGAGGAUUCACCCAUUAGAUAAAGGCUUUACUACCUGCAGGAGUACUCAUAGCCUUAGGCUUGACUUCCUCUUGAGGGUCACCCAUUAGAGAGGCUUGACCAGAGAGGUCUUUACCCAUGGCACGGUAUUGAAAUCCUUCCAGUUGGGGUUACAGGUUGGACUCCACCAAAUUUGGGGCAUUUCAUUUAAGCGAGAACUCCCAUAGUUGUAGUUUCAGUAUUAGUCUUCAGAGUAGAACUCAGAAAUCAGGACUGUCAGAUACAGUCAUCUAUCUCAGUAAGGAACUUAGAUAAUUUCACUGAUUCAUGGACUACCCGUUAGAUAGGCCUGGUCUCACAUAAAGUUAUUUAGUGUCAGUACUUACAAAGAUCACCCGUUAGAUAGGCUUAUCUCAGUCUCAGAUUCAGUUGAGUAUUCUCAUUACCAGUCCCAGAGAUCACCCGUUAGAUAGGUCUAAUCUCAAGUUCAGUUAAUGUUAAUCAUUAUCAGAAGAUUCAGAGAUCACCCGCUAGGUAGGCUUGAUCUCAAAUUCAGAUUCUUAUCUUUCCUUAUCAUUAUUAGAAGACAUAGAGAUUAUCCACUAGAUAGGUUUGAUCUCAGAUUUAGCUAGUCAAUAUCAGCAAGCUCAGAACUCAGUUGUCGAUAUUAGUUGAUUCAGCUCUUCAGUAUUCUAGAGCUAGCAAACUUAAAUAUCAAUUAUCAGUAGACUCAUCCAUCUAGUUCUUAGUAUUAAUAAGUACAGAUAUCAGUUUCAGUAGCUUUAGAUACUCAAAAUCUCAGUAUGUUCAGAGAUUUCAGAAUUAACAGUAUAUUCAAUAUCAGUUAUCAUAUUUAGUCCUAGUAUGCUCAGUGUCAGUAUGUGCGGUAUGUUCAGUAGUUCCAGAUUCUCUAUGUAUGCUAAUCCAGCUCUUACAUAUCAUUUAAUUAAGUAAUUAUGCAUGCAUAAGCCCUUAUAUUUAGCCUUACCUCAUUUACAUACUCAGUACAAUCCAAUAUACUGACAUAUUUGCACUAUGGUGUUGCUAUUUUACCUUCACCAUAGGUUCAGGAGCACGAGAUCCAGAGUACCCUUAGCAGUUCCAGACUCAGUCAGCAGCAGUAGACGUAUUAGUGAGUCCUCAUCUUUUGAGGACGAUUAUCAUUUCAGUACUUUAUUUUAUUAGACGGGGUUAGUUGGGGACAUGUCCCAUCAACUCUGUAGUUUAGACAGUUAGAGGCUUUUCGGACAGAUGUAUAAGUUUUCAGUUUAAAGACUUUGAUCAUUUCAUAUGUUUUGAACUUUAUGGCAAGUUUUCGCCAGUUUUCCGCAUGUAUUUUAUAAUAUUAUACAGUGACCAGGUACAAAUAUCAAAAGAGGGUUAGCUUAUGGUCCUUUGGGAUCAUGAGCACCGUGUGGCGUUCCGGUUAUACCAAAAUUGGGGUGUUACAAUUUCAGUACUUCAGAUUACUAAUUAUUUUAGAAUCAAGUUAUACGUUUUGUCUUGCAUUCUUAGAUAAUACAGAGUUCAUGAAUUCAUGCUCAGUUAUCUCAUGUUACUCAGACAGUCCUUACCUCAUACGUAUAAUACUCUAUAGUUUCAGUCCAGUUAUUCAGACUAAGUACGGUUCAGUCUUACAUGCCCUGUAUUCAGCUAUCAGCCUUUCAGUUAAUCAGAUAAGUUAGUAUGCUUAUGCAUUUGUGCUCAACGCCCAUGUGAAUGUUUCAGUAGUCUCAGGUGAAGCGUCGUACUUGGGUCGAGAGUAUAGUAUAGUUGAGAGAGUAUUCGAGGAAUAUAUCUAAGCUUGAAAAUUAUUAGUUGCAGUGUAUGAGGCUUAGUAACUCCAUAUUAGAUGAUAUUCUGUAGGCCUUGCUCUAUAUUAUAGAAUUGUAGCCAUGUAGUGAUUUCUUAUUCAGAUGUUUUAUUCAGACUAUGCCAAGAUUUCCUUGCUCCCUAAAGUUAGUAGAAAUCUAUAGAAAGGGUGUCAAGAAUUGCUACAGUUUAGUAUAAGUUUUCAGUAUGAGUAGUCUGUGUCACACCCCUUUUUUAAAUCCCAAAAGAUUUUAUUUUUAAGGUUCGAAAGGGUUUUUAUUAUCAAAGUUACAAAAGAUGAAAAUUUAUUUAGAAAAGGACCUUUUAUAUUCAAAACUCAGAGUCGCCACUUGGAAUAAUUCGGUGUGCCAAGGUACCUUUGAAAAAUCCUUUUCAAAACGUUUUGACUCUUUAAAACUGGUUUGCGAACAGAAAUUUCGGUUAAGGAAUUCUAUUGACCGAGGGAAAGGUGUUAGGCACUCCUCGAUCCCGUGGUUCGACCACAGUCUCUUGGUGGAGCGUAUCGGCUAAUUUGACAUUACAAAUGUAUAAACCGCACAAAACACAUAAAACAAUCAACUAAACACACGAAACAAAACAAAUCCAAAAUAUAAUGUUCAGUCCAAUUAUACAGUCCAAAAAUAAGAAAAAUGGAAAAAUAAAUCCUAUUGUAACCUCACUAGUACUAAACUAUGCUCCGAUGAUUUACUCCAUCCGAUGUUUCGGGUCUUGACCGUGCGCCGUCUUCAAGUACAACUUUCUCAGGGCAUUCCCCGGAUAAAGCAAUACAGAUACCUCGGGGUAUUCCCUGGUCAAAUGAGUACAUUUUUUCAAUUGUGAUAAAAAAAAUCCAUUCAACACAUAUUUCAAACAUUUCACUAAUUUCGCAAUCCCUAAGUGUGCCUACCCCUAUCGUUUGCCUAACAAUUCAUGGUCUAAAGCAUGAUACUAUCAAACUUAACAAAGUCGACGUUUAUUCCGAAUCUAGCAAUCGUUACUAAACCAAAAUAAAUCAAUAUUCACUUUUAACAAUUUUUGAUCUUUUUUCCCAAAAUCCAACUUAACCCUAAAUCAACUACGUGAUAAACAUACUUCACACCAGGAUUAACAAUCAAAUAACUACGAGCAAAAUCACCUCAAUUAAAUUCAACCAAAAAUCACACCAUUCAAAAACAUACACAAAAGAGGAGAUAAGAGAUAUAGAAUUGGACCUCAAUCGCUCAUUUUAUUCCAAAAUCAGUGAUGGAUUAGAAUUCACGGGUAACAGAACCUCGACUCAACUGGAACCUCAACGUCGAACCCGCAACUUGAACAAAUACCAAAGAGCACAACCCAACUCAAGUUUUUUGACUAAAAAUCUGUAAACAUCGUCAAUCCAAAAUGGACUACUAGGAACCAAACGAGACAACAGUAUCUAAAACCUGAACCCAUUCCAACGCUGAACCUUUUUUUGAACCAAUUUUUGAAGAAGAAUCUGGAGUCAUUUUUUUUCAUCUAUUUUCGGCGGGUAACGUUAGUGAUCCUCAGUUUUUGGUUGGAAAAAGGGAAACGAUAGAGAGCUGGUGGAUUUUUCGAUGGGGGGAAAUAAAUUUCGGCAAUAAUCUCGCUAGAAAAUUCAAAAUAUUAGCCUUUUCCGGUGACUUCCCCACUCCAUUUCCCUUUUCUCGUCUCUCUGUCUCCGAUCUACCUAUCAAUCGCCCAAUCUCUACUCUAAUUCCUCAACCCUCGAUUUCUCUCUCUGCUUGUAAUCCUCACACUCUCGAUCUCACUAUUCCUCUUUUGAUUCACCUCGCGUCUCACUAUUUUUCACCAUUUAUGUGUGAUUUGGGUAUGGAUGUGUAUGUAUGUGGCUGUGCUUGAGAGGGGAAUUGCGAGUUGGUGCGUGGUUUUUGUGUAUUAUCGAUCUAAGAAGAGAAAAAGAAAAAUAGAUCCCCCCUGGUAUGCCUGAUCUCUGAGGUAUAUGGUGUAUGUAGUAUAUGUGAGAUGGUGUUCUGUGGGUUGGAAGAAGAAGAACUAUUGUGUGUAUAUCUCUUGUGAAAAAAAUCCCCAAAAUACAUGGGGCCCUUUCCUUUUUAUUGUUAGUGUAUUGAACAUAUUAGGAAUAUUCUCCCGUGGGGCCCACUUUUUUUUUGUUUUCUUUUCAAAAUGGUUUCAAAUUGGAUAAAAAAACGUAAGGGAUAGGGAAAUUGGGGUGUGACGUGUCCUAAUUUCAUAGGAUACGGUUGUUAGGAUAAGGUGUAAAGUUGGUUUGGAUAAGGUUGUUAAUUUGUUAGGGAGUUUGUUAUUUUUGUAUUUUUGUGGGGUAUGAUCACAUGGAUGAGGACACGUGGUAAGGUGAGCUAAAAAUGGAUAAAAUCAACGUCGAGAGGGACAAAAUUAGGUGUCUACAGCUUGCCCCCUUUGAAUGUAAACAUGAAGUGUUUUUAGACAAAGAAGUAGACAACGAGACAAAAUUUUGUCCCGACCAUUAUUCAAAAAGAAUGAAACAGAAGGAAGGAGGGAAACCAAUUCUUGACAUUGGACGUCAUAUUAAUCCCUAGUUAUGAGGGAAUUAAGUCACAUAUAUCCCUAAGGACUGAAAGAAGAGGGGCUAUACCGAGUUGGAGAGUCGAGCGAGGUUCUGGUCCGCAGCUCUGUUAUUACAUCAAAAAUAAAAAUUAUAAGUUAAAACAAAAUUAAAAUUAUAAAAAUCCUAUCUAUGCAGCUUCUUUUGGACUCUUGACUUGAGUUUCAUUACCCUAUUCUUCAGGCGGGCUCCUGACUUGCAAUUUCUUCAACUUGUUGUUUGGCUUUCAAUUUCUUCAACUUGUUGUUUGACUUUCAACUUCUUCGCCUUGUUGUUUGACUUUCAACUUCUUGACCUUGUUGCUUGACUUUUAAUCUCUUAACCUUGUUACUUGACUUUCAAUUUCAUUACCCUAUUCUUCAGGCGGGCUCCUGACUUUCAAUUUUAUCACCCUAUACUUCAGAUGGGAUCCUGAUACCAAAAUCAAAGCUAAAAUGAAAAUUAUCCCAAACAAAUAUUAUGAUAAAAAAAGGUUUCAUUUUUUGAAAGUAUGGUCCUAUUUUCCAGGAGGCUCCUGAACAGAAAGUAAAAUCUCAUUUUCUAGGAGGGUCCUGAACAUAAAGUGAAUCCCAUUUUUCAGGAGGGUCCUGAACAGAAAGUAAAAUCCUAUUUUUCAGGAGGGUCCUGAACAGAAAGUAAAAUCCCAUUUUGCAGGAGGGUCUUGAAUAGAAAGUAAAAUCUCAUUUUGCUGGAGGGUCCUGAACAGAAAGUAAAAUCCCAUUUUGCAAGAUGGUCCUGAACAGAAAGUAAAGUCCCAUUUUUCAGGUGGGUCCUGAACAGAAAGUAAAGUCCCAUUUUCCAGGUGGGUCCUGAACAGAAAGUAAGAUCCCAUUUUCUAGGAGUGUCCUGAAAAAAAAAUCCCAUUUUCCAAGAGAGUCCUAAGCAGAAAGUAAAUUCCUAUUUUCCAGAAAGGUCCUGAACAGAAAGUAAAAUCCUAUUUUCUAGGAGGGUCCUGAACAGAAAGUAAAAUUCCAUUUUUCAGGAGGGUCCUGAACAUAAAGUAAAUCCCAUUUCCAGGAGGGUCCUGAAUAUAAAUUAAAAUCUCAUUUCGCAGGAGGGUCCUGAACAUAAAGUAAAUCCCAUUUCCAGGAGGGUCCUGAACAUAAAGUAAAAUCCCACUAUCUAGGAGGGUCCUGAACAGAAAGUAAAAUCCCAUUUUUCAGGAUUGUCCUGAACAGAAAGUAAAAUCCUAUUGUCCAGGAGGGUUCUGAACAGAAAGUAAAAUCCCAUUUUCCAGGAGGGUCCUGAACAGAAAGUAAAAUCCCAUUUUUCAGGAGGAUUCUGAACAUAAAGUAAAAUCCCAUUUUCCACGAGGGUCCUGAAUAGAAAGUAAAGUUCCAUUUUUCAGGAGGGUCCUGAACAAUAAGUAAAAGCCCACGAAAGUGCUUUUCCAAUGGUCGCUAAAUUAAGUGAAUCGAAUUUGUCCCCAUUUCAACAAAGAAAAUUUAUCAGUUAAAAACUUAGUGAUGGUUUGCAACACUUGGAUUUCCUGACACCUGCUCCAAUGUCCAUUCCCUUCAUUUUGUUUCAUAUUGCUGGCACUUUCCCCUACUUUAUCGUGUCAUUCACCCAAACACAGAUUAAGGGAAAUGACUCUAAAAUAAACAUAGUAUCUUUGCUUUGCCAUGCUCCUCAGAUAAACCCUUUGAACCUCGGUAUUUUCAUGAGUUCCCAGACUUGUCUAUUGACAAAACUUUCUGCAUGCCUUGUUUUGACUUGCAAUCUUAUUUCUUUUUUGUGCUGGCCCUUGGUUUUGCUUUGUGUAAUUGAAGAAGCUGGUAGACAGUUUUAAAAUCUUUUCUCACUUGUUUUGACAUGGACUUGACUCAAAGACAAGAGAAAAAUGACAACAAAUUUUAUUUUAUUUGGAUAACUGAUUCAAGAAAGAUAAAACAAAAAUAAAGAGAAGAAAGAAAAGAUAAUGAAUGACCCUUUUUGAAACAAAAAAACAAAGAUUUAUCUAAAAAUGACAAUCAACUCUAAUGAUCAUUCCAUGCAUUUUGGAUCAAACUGCCUAAUCAUUCUAUCCAAACUUUCUGCCGAAUGUUGUUAAGUUAACGACCUCGAAAUUGAGUUGCCUCCUUAGGUCAAUUGUAUUUAAGACCUCAUUCGAUUAAUGACGCCUUAAAGGGUUUUUGCCAACAAGCCUCUCUCAUUUUUUUUUCCUAGCUCACCAUUUUCUUAUGGUGUCCGUGGGGUUUUCACCAAUAAGACUCUCUUAUUUUUAUCUCUCUCAGCUUACCAUGAGGGUUUUCACUGGUAAGACUCUCUCAUUUUAUUUCUCUCUUGAUUCCUUAUGUUGGGGAAGACAAGUAGUUCCCUAAAUGCAUCCUCAUAUCUAUUGCAUGCUUAGCCUUAAUAUCCUCAAAGAUUGAUCUGAAGGUCUUUCUUUGGUUGUAACUCGACUUUUGGAUAGGGUUAGAAAGAAAGGAUGGCAUGGGGCCCAAACGACACUUGAUGUGGGAUAGAACUUACAACUUUUGGAAUCGACUCAAACAAUGAGGAUUAACUCAUUCCCCAGUUUUUUUUGACUGGGCAAUUCUAAAUUGUUUAUUUGGUUGGACCGAGCCUAAGAUAGGGCAGCCUACGUAUCUCACCUUCGAGAGAGGAGAAUCAGGCCAUGGUAGUUCUGGCAACUUGUUUUGCUUGAUUCUAAUUUAUUUUUCUUCUAUGUUUCUUUUAUUGACUCUUUCUCUUUUGGAAUUUUCUGACUCUAUUUAUCUUGACACUCUUUUUUUUUCUUUUUGGACACAUUUUUUUUUCUCUUCUUCUUUUUGAAGACUUUUCUGACUCUAGUCUUUUACUCGACACUUUUCUUUUGAGCUUUGUUGAAUCUAUCUUGAUUCCAAAAGAGGGGUAUGAAAGAAAAUAAUACUAAAGCUCAAGUGGGGUAAACAAAGGAUGACAUAAUAUUUAGAUAGCAGAAUGAAAUGCCUUCAUCAUAUCAAUCCCUGAAAAUGCAAGUACAUAUCAUGCAAUAUGAAAUAAAAAAUGAAGAUCAUUUGUGAUACUUUAACAACACUAACUUUAACUGAGUAUGUGUGCCACUUCUUUUUCUAAACUUGUCAAACUUACAAACUCCACCUUUGUUGUAUAUCCAUCACCUUGAAUGAUUCAUGCCUUCGUGGAGUUGAUUUUCUUUCUGUUCCUUUUGAUAGGAUCACGCAGACACUGUUUGACCUAAUUAAGACAUGUCUUUCAAUUGAUGACCAAGUUAUCCUUGUGAUUCUCAAAAUAAAAGUCUAAAUUUUCAAAGAAGGCUUCAACUUGAUCACCAAAUUCCCUAACACUCUAUCUAUUUUCUCAGAUGCUCUAUUUUCCUAACUUUAACUCUCUGAUUCAAUGCUUCAUAAUUAAGCUGGAUUUUAAGAUCUGACUGAAAAUUCUACAAAUAUGUCAUAUCACUAGAAUCAACAUAAAAUGUACUAUAUAGAGAAAACAAACAAACAACACAUAUUUGAAACAUAAAAGGAAAGGGACACUUCAGUUAGUCGAAAUGAAAGAUAAAAAGGUUUGAACAUAAAUGAAAAAGGGACAAAAUAAGAUAGAUCCCGCACUACAACCCUGAAAUACUUCAGAAAAUAGAAAAGAAAAUAAAACAAACUACCAGAUCUUUUCCUAGUAGGGAGAGAGGUGACUUCUCAAUUGCUCAGCCUGACAAUUUAGCCACUGGUUUGCAUAUAAACAUGACUAGAGCUUCCCUCACUGUCAAUGUUCUGUACCAUAAUUGAUCCAUCUUGAAUCAUUUUUUCAAUUUCCCUUUUCAAAUCUUGACAAUCUUUAAUACUAUGACCCUGAGCACCAGAAUGAUACGCACAUCGUACAUUAGGGUCAAAAUUUCUUGAAUGUCGAUUAAGAGUGCACCCAAGGAGAGGAGUGAUCAUGUCCCAUUAUACCAAUCUCUAAAAUAAAUUGGCAUACGGCUCUCCAAUUAGUGUAAAGCUAUCUCUCAACUUCUGCCUCAUUUCAUCGUUUGGCUUGGAUCGAAAAUCAGGCUUAGAAGGGUUUUGGUAUAUUUGUGGAGUUAGAGGAUGACUCUGAGGAGUUGAUGUGUUCCACUAUGGGUAAGAUGGGGGUCGAACAUGUGGUUGUGCAUUAUACACUGGAUAUGGAUGUGGAGGAACAGAGUAUAAUGACUUUUGGGAGUGAUUAUGUAAAGCUUGGGAAUGAACUUGGGUUUGAGCCUGAGAGUGACGAUGACGAGGUCUUCUUGACCUUUUUUGCUGUCCAACUACAGUAGCAGAUGCAUCUUCCCCAUUCUUUUUCUCCCCAACACUUUUUGAACCCUUUUGAAUUGCUUGAGUAGUCGCUUUCAAUAUUGCAAAACUCACAAUACGACCAGUCUUAAUUCCCUCUUCUAUCAUCUUCCCCAUUUUAAGGACCUCAAUGAACGGCUUGCCUAAUGCAGGUAGCAAGUGUUGAUAAUAUGUUUUGUCCUGUGCCUGAAUAAAUACUUCCACUAUUUUGCUUUCUUUCAUUGGUGGUUUUACUCUAGCAGCUUGUUCGCACCAUCUGAUCGCAUACUCCCUGAAACUCUUAGUAUUCUUCUUUUUUAUACUAGUUAGGGAUUUUUCGUCAAGGAUCAGCUCCACAUUGUAUUGUAAUUUUUUCAUAAAUUCAUUAGCUAGGCCAUCCCAAAUAAUCCACUUGUCAAUGUCUUGGUCAACAAACCAUUCUGAAGCUAGGCCUAAAAGACUCUCAUCGAAAUAUGCCAUGAGUAAUUCUUCCUUCCCUCCAGCGCCCCUUAGCUGGUUGCAAUAGCAUCUCAAAUAUGCUACAGGAUCGCCAUGUCUAUCAUACGUCUCAAGCUUCAGUAUUUUAAAACCAAGAGGAAGAUAUACACCUGGAAACAUGCACAGAUCUUUAUAUGAGACACUUUUGUACCCCCCAAGUCCUUGCAAGUUAUUCAUAGUCAGUUCUAAACUUCUUAAUUUCUUGGCCAUUUCCUUUUGUUCUUCUGCAUAACAGGCUUCUUAGUGUAAGAAGAAAAUUCAUAAGGUUAAGUGCAGUCGUAAGGACCAGUCGACUUAAAUGUGGACUUGGGAGCAUAAUGCUGAUCACUAAAAUAUUCAAUACAGGGUCGCUUGUAGAGUGAGGAAUCACAACCUUUGGAUUGACAUUAAAAGUAGGAGCUUCAGACGAGAGUGGGACUGCAAAAGCAUGAAUAGCAGGCGGAGCCGAGCAUGUGGUAAUUUUGUAUUGAAGAGCGAGCAAAUGAAUAUUAGAAGUGUUUGGAUACUGUUUCCCCGGAGUAGGUCCUGAUGUAUGUUGUGGCGUGUCGACCAAAAUAGGGAAUUGUGCAUGUGACACUGGAGGCAAACUAGAAAGAUAUUCCAGAUUAUCAGUGGGAAAUGGAGAAGCCGGCUACCCAUUAGCCCAAGCUUGAUGCAUUUCUAUCAUUUGCUGCCUUAAUUUCCGAAUCUCUUCAUUAGCUCCUACAACCUUAAUUUCCGAAUCUCAUCAUUAGCUCCUACAUUCUCAUUCCACGAACUCCCUAUCUGAUUAGUGACAACUAACUCAGUAUCCUUGUUGGCCAUAACUUUCUCUGUGAGUUGGAGCAAUAUGGAGGACCAGCUAAAAUGCGACAAACCAACCACCUUAAACUAACUGGACAAGAGAUAGAAAAUGCGUUAGAGUUCAACAAUUUUUCAAAACCUCUUUUUUUUUUCUUGAAAAGAUCACCGAACCCUAAAAGGGCGCCUACGUAUCUCGCCCCAAAAAGGGGAGAAUCGGGUGUGCGUAGUUCGUGAAGUCUUGCUAAAAUGACUAAUUAAACUCUUUUUCUUUUUAUUUUUCUUGAAAUUUUAAGAAGAAAAGAAAAAUAACAAAUUGUCAAAAGAAUAGACGAAAAUCUUUUUGAAUUUUUUAGCUUCCUAUACCAAAUGAAACUUAUGAUUACCAAAGAAAAAUCUUUUUGGAUUUUCGACUUUGAAUUUCAUAUGAAAAUGAAACUUGAACCUAUUAAAGAAAAAUUUGUUUAGUGUUUUUCUUUUAAAGGUGUAUAUGAAACACCUACUCUAAGUGAAGAGUGAAGAAAAUCUUUUUGGAUUUUUAUGAAAUAAGAUCCCCAAACCAACAAUAGGUUGCCUACGUAUCUCACUCCCGAGAGAGGAGAAUCAGGGGUACGUAGUUCGUCCUGAUUGGAUAAUUAAGGAUUAAAUAACAAACUAAGACUUGACCUGAGAGACAGACAAUGAAAGACGUCAAUAAAAUCUUUUUGAGUUUUUUUAAUUUGACACUUCACAUAAAACUGACACCAACAAUUAUGAAAGAAAUUUUUUUUUGGGUAUUUUAGUUAGAUGAAAUGUACAAAACAUCUACCAUCUUUUUGCAUUUUUUCCUUUAUAAAAAGCUCCAAUUAAAAAAGCAUUUUCGAAUUUUUUGAAUUAUGAAUGCAUGGUAAAGGAACAAAAGGAAAAUCUUUUUGAUGUUUUUGAGAAAAUGAGUGAGAAAGGUAAAAAAAUCUUUUCGAAUUUUUGGAUUGUGAAAAACAAAAGCCAUAAAAAACUCUAAAAACUACAAAACUCUUUUUUCCUUUUUGACUUAAUUUUUCAAUUUUUCCUCUUUUUUUUCAAUUUUUUCUUGCCUACACACUUUACUUCUAACACAUGCUUUCCCCAAAUCAGUCCGUCAAAUGACCACGUUAUCCUCAGAGAUGCAACAUUUAGCACGUAGGGAUGCUUUAAAGGUGAGUCUCCUACAAAGGACCGUGUGAGUCCUGCUAGGUCUCAAUAUGAUGCACAUAAGAAUGACCUAAAGGCUGACUUACGUUGUGGUUUACUAACAAGGCCGUUCGGGGGAGCAUAUGGUCAAUAGUGGCUGCUUUGCUUUUCACCUACUCCAUAUAUCCAACAGCUCCCCCCCCCCUAAAAUAAGGGUGACUCAACUAGAGUUCGUGCAUACGACGUGCACUCCAAGACGUUGCAGAAAGAAUUGACUCGGGUUAUGCAAAUGAUGUCAGAUAUAUAAUGGUAACACAUAAAGAAAAAUUGUAAAUAAAGAGUACAGAAAUGCACAACAGUGAUAACAAUAACACAAACAAUAAUCACAAACAAUGUUUAUACACCCAUAAUGCCAAACAAAGCCGAUACGACUCCCCAAAAAAAAAAGCUCGAAUUCUUAAAGAUUCUCCAGCAGAGUCGCCAGAGCUGUCACACCCAUUUUUUAGCUCCCAAAAGAUUCUAUUUUUAAGGUUCGAAAGGAUUUUUAUUAUCAAAGUGACAAAAGAUGAAAAUUUAUUUCGAAAAGGACCUUUUAUAUUCAAAACUCAAAGUCGCCACUUGGCAUAAUUCAGUGUGCCAAGGUACCUUUGAAAAAUCCUUUCCAAAAUGCUUUGACUCUUUAAAACUGGUUUGCGAACAGAGAUUUUGGUUAAGAAAUUCUAUUGAUCGAGGGGAAGGGGUUAGGCACCCCUCGAUCCCGUGGUUUGACCACGGUCUCUUGGUGGAGAGUAUCGGCUAAUUUGACAUUACAAAUGUAUAAACCACACAAAACACAUAAAACAAUCAACUAAACACACGAAACAAAACAAAACAAAUCCAAAAUAUAGUGUUUAGUCCAAUUAUACAGUCCAAAAAUAAGAAAAAUGCAAAAAAUAAAUCAUAUUCUAACCUACAAUAGUACUAAACUAUGCUCCGAUGAUUUACUCCAUCCGAUGUUUUGGGCCUUGGCCAUGCGCCGCCUUCAAGUACAAAUUUCUAGGGGCAUUCCCCGGAUAAAGCAAUACAGAUACCUCAGGGUAUUCCCCGAUCAAAUGAGUAUAUUUUUCAAUUGCGAUAAAACAAAUUCAUUCAACACAUAUUUCAAAAAUUUUACCAAUUUUGCAAUCCCUAAGUGUGCCUACCCCUAUCGUUUGCCUAACAAUUCAUGGCCUAAAGCAUGAUACUAUCGAACUUAACAAAGUCGACGUUUAUUUCAAAUCAAGCAAUCGUUACUAAACUAAUAUAAAUCAAUAUUCACUUUUAACAAUUUUUUAUCUUUUCCCCCAAAAUCCAACUUAACCUCAAAUCAACUACGUGAUAAACAUACUUCACACCAGGAUUAACAAUCAAAUAACGACGAGUAAAAUCACCUCAACCAAAUUCAAUCAAAAAUUACGCCAUUCAAAAAUAUUCACAAAAAGAGAGAUAAAAGAUAUAGAAUUGGACCUCAAUCGCUCAUUUUAUUCCAAAAUUAGUGAUGGAUUGGAAUUCACGAGCAACAAAACCUCGACCCAACUGGAACCUCAAUGUCGAACCCGCAACUUAAAAAAAUACCAAAGAGCACAACCCAACUCGAGUUUUAUGAAUAAAAAUCUAUGAAAAUCAUCAAUCCAAAACGAACUACUAGGAACCAAACGAGACAAUAGUAUCCAAAACCCGAACCCAUUCCAACGCUAAACCUUUUUUUGAACCAAUUUUGGAAGAAGAAUCUGGAGUCGUUACUGUUCACCUAUUUUCGGUGGGUAACGUUAGUGAUCCUCAGUUUUUGGUCGAAAAAAGGGGAACGAUAGAGAGCUGGUGGAUUUUUUGAUAGGAGAAAAUGAAUUUUGGCGAUAAUCUCGCCAGAAAAUUCAGAAUAUUAGUUGUUUCCGGUGACUUCCCCACUCCAUUUUCCGUUUCUCGUCUUUCUGUCUCCGAUCUACCUCUCAAUCUCCCAAUCUCUACUCUAAUUCCUCAACCCUCGAUCUCUCUCUGCUUGUGAUCCUCACUCUCUCGAUCUCACUAUUCCCCCUUCGAUUCACCUCGCAUCUCACUAUUUUUUCACCAUUUAUAUGUAAUUUGGGUAUAGGUGUGCGUGUAUAUGGUUGUGCUUAAGAGUGGAAUUAUGAGUUGGUGCGUGGUUUUUGUGUAUUGUCGAUCCAAGAAGAGAAAAAGAAAAAUGGAUCCCCCCUGGUGUGCCUGAUCUUUGAGGUAUAUGGUGUAUGGAGUAUAUGUGAGAUGGUGUUCUGUGGGUUGGAAGAAGAAGAACUUUUGUGUAUAUAUCUCUUGUGAAAAAAAAUCCCCAAAAUUCGUGGGGCCCUCUCCUUUUUGUUGUUAGUGUAUUUAACAAUAUUAGGAAUAUUCUCCCAUGGGGCCCACUUCUUUUUUUGUUUUCUUUUCGAAAUAGUUUCAACUUGGAUAAAAAAAAGUGAGGGGUAGGAAAAUUGGGGUGUGACGUGUCCUAAUUUCAUAGGAUAUGGUUGUUAGGAUAAGGUGUAAAGUUGGUUAAGAUAAGGUUGUUAAUUUGUUAGGGAGUUUGUUAUUUUUGUAUUUUUGUGGGGUAUGAUCACAUGGAUGAGGACACGUGGUAAGGUGAGCUAAAAAUGGAUAAAAUCAAUGUUGGGACGAAUAAAAUUAGGUGUCUAUAGUCCGUAAAGCCAACAAUUCAAUUUAGCAGUCAGGCGGACAGGUUCAUAUGGUUUCCUAUCUUUUCAUCUAAUCGCACUACCUGAAGUCUCAUGAAUAUAACCAUUCCAAGCUGGGGCAACCAGGUAGUUGCGAGUUUAGCUCAGUUCAUGUAUUAUGCCUCAGUUUCAGAUCCUCGAUAUGCAGUCAAGAUUCAGUUAAUAGGUGCCCUGUGCAUCGUCUCAGUUUUUCCUCAGUAUCUCAGCCAAGUCAGCAUUCUUCAGGGGAUAUAAUGUCCCAAGGGGGAGAUGCGCUAUAAUCCCUCGAGCUUUUAUGACCUAAACCUUCCAUCUUCUCUUUAUGUAAUGAAUCCAAUUUGGAGUAGUGGGUGCUCAUAGGUGGACCCUCAAGUACCAAUAUCAGUCGUAAGCCAUGCAUCCAGGGGCUCAGUUUAGUUUAUGAUAUUCAGUUCACGUAUCACAUUUCAGGCUUAGUCAUGUUCUCAUGUUCCCGUUCAUGCAUGUUUAGUAAAUGAUCUCAGGUUCAUUAGUAUUCUCAGUUUAAGGCAACAGGUUUCCUUAGAUUGGCUUAGUUCCAUGUUCAGGUUCAGCUACCGUUGCACAUUCAGUCAUACAUUUAUGAAUCAGUUCAGUCAUGUACUCAUUCAUCAGAUAUGCAUGUACAGAUUGAAAACUCAACUUAUUAGUAGUUUCAGUCAGGUGUUUGUCACGACCCGAACAAGGCCCUGGCCGUGACGAGCAUCCUGAGCUGUAAAGGCCCGAGCUCCCCUUUAUUAAUAGGCAAUCAUACACACGUUCAUACAAUCAUAAAGAGAAUGCGGAAUGGAUUCAUACGGAAACAUGGUCAAUAACAUCAUACGACUGAAAAGUCAAAGAUUUCAAUAAGACCUUCAACAUCAUCUAACAUCUAUCUGCAAAAUCUCUAGUAUAUCAAAACCAGUCAUCACAACUAAAACUGGGAUAAGGUCCCCAGUGGACCUAAACCAAAAUAAAUAAUAUAUGACAGAAAGAAAUAGACCUUUCGGAAUAAAGAAGGCUCACCAAUUGCAACACACUUCACUUCUGCCCGAAAACUCUACGGCUUUUCAGGAUCUCUAGACUGAGCCUCAGAUACUGGAAUAUAGGGGGUCAAAUCAAUUGUAAUGUAGCAGAGUAAUCCAAAAAUAAAAUACAACUUUUAUAUAACAUAGGUGAGAGCUAUUAUAAAACACUUUAACGUAAAAUCGUUUGAAAACACAUUGGCAUAGUAUAAUGAUUUUUCAACAAAAAUGCAGCACUAUUUAGCUAGAUGGUACACCCUACAAUUUCACAUUUUCACCAACUUCCAAGUCUCGAUUGCCACCAAGAUUGGAGUAUUAGUGAGGAAAGGACACACAAGAUCAUACAGCAGGGUGCCACAAUCCCAAUCAAUUCAAUAUGUCGUGGUUGGGCUCAAGAUCAUAAAGCAGGGCUCCUAACCAUUGGUCCCAAUUUGGGAUGAUAUAGUACUAGGUACACAAGAUCACAUAGUAGGGUACCAAGUUCCCGUGUUGGCAAUUCACGGUUCCCAGCAUAGAGUCAUCUGACUCAUGCUUUCUUCAGGUAACCAUCUAACUCAUAUCAAUUUAAUAUUUAAGUUUGAUAUAAGACAAAACAUGCAUCAUACUCACAACAUUCUCUUCCUCUUUUUAUUCGAGGAAAUUCCUUCACACGUUUUAUGCAAGUCAUUAUAUGAACACCAACAAGACUCCCAUACACCAACAUAAGCAUAUCGAUUCCCCAACACGAAAUAGUCAAGAAACUUCAACAUUUACCAAGAAACCAUCAGGAUAGCCUAGUUGCUUUGGAGGGCGGUUACCCACCCGGGUGACCAGGGAUCGAUUCCCCCCUCAAUGCCUUCUGGGUUUGAGCCUGUCGCACAGGGCUUGCCUAGUGCGGUUUAUAUCCCCAUGUGGUUUGUAGGCUAUUGCAUCGGGGGGUUUACCCAGUGCGCAUACAGUGCUCACCCGAAGGGAAGAGGCUGUGGCAGAGGGUGUAGCGGCUGCGGGUUUUUCUGGAAAGUUUCCAAAAAAAAUACAUUAUCCAAACACACUUUUCCAUGAUAAAAAAGGGGUUUUAAAAACACAUGCUCUCAAUACUUUAACAAUAGCAUUAUGUGGGGUUCAUAAACAUCAUCAUGAGAAAUAAAGAAUUCACAACUCAUGUUCAUAACACUUUUUAAAAUUCAAAUCACAUGUCCACAAAUCCAAAAAUUGAGAUACAUAAGCAAACAACCCCAUAUUCUUUCAAUAUUCUUCUCAAAACCAUAUCACAAUGCAUGCUUUUUGUGUUAAAACGAAACCCCACUUAUAAUGGCAUACAUACAUACAUACAUAAUUAUUAAAAAAUCUUAUUUAAAUUCAUAUCAAAAUCAUGUCCAUGAGAUUUAGGAUAACCCCACAUACUUUAGAUUAAUUAGUUUAGAGAGAAGAACCUGAAUCUCCAUUCAUUCUUUGGAAAUCUUGAACUUAGAGGUUGGUUCUUGAUUCCUUGUUCUUGGGAGAAACCCUAAUUUUGAUGUUAUGAAUGAAUAAGGAGUUAUGUCCUUUGAUUUGAUGUAAUAAGGUGUUAAAAAAGUGAAAAAGACCCAAAAAUUUCUUUAAAAACGGCUUUAGAUCACUAAACGGAGGUUCGAGACGGUUUGGGCGACGAACCGUCACCCCAGGGAUGGACCGUCCCUCAAACCAUCACUUUUUGGCCAGAAAAUGGACUUACUACCUCAGUUGCGAUGGUUUGGCUGGCGGUCCAUCGCUGGCGCGAUGGUCCGUUGGCCUUCUCGUCGCACUUUGGCAGUUCGUAUAGCUCCAAAUAAGUUUUUCUAAUAGUAAAAAGCACCUUAAAACCACUCAUAAGUUGGAGAUGAGGAUGAUGAGUUGGGAUCCGGCCAUAACUUUUUACCCCGAUAUCGGAUUUAGGAAAAAUUGGUGGUGUUGGAAAGAGGACUCAAAGAACUUUCAUUUUAUAUAGAGUAGGCCCUCUAAUUCUAUAUAUACAAAAAGUUAUGGUCAAUUGAAAUUAACCUGAGUUUAAAUGCUCACCAAAACUAAAUCGAUAGGAAGGCUUUCAACUCAUCCUUGAGUUAAGGGAUCUCUAUGAUCUUAAUUCAUGCUCAACUAGAUUUCCACACUAUUAGUUGAUUAACACACUACAUUUACAUUAGAUUUAUGAUUUUUGGAUUAUUUACGCGUGGAAAUAACGGUUUAUAUUGUUUAAUUAUAUUGUUUUUAUAUCUCUAUUUUGAGAUUUUUUAUUGUGUUAAUGUUAAGUUUAAUUGUAUUUUUUGAUAUCUCUAUUAUAUAGUAUUAUUUUGUUGUAGUUUACAAGUGGUAGAUGGGUGUCAGAUGGCUUUGACAAAUUUUUUGUGUAAAGGUUAGAUUUAAUUAUACUGUUUUGACUAAAAAAAAUAACUACUCCCUCCGUUUAAAAAAGAAUGACCUACUUUCCUUUUUUGUUGGUUUCAAAAGAAUGACCCCUUUUCUUUUUUAGCAAUACUUUAAUUUCAACUUUCCAUAUGACAUGUUUAGAACCAUGAGAUUAAAGGACAUUUUGGUACAUUUAACCUAAUUUUAAUUUAAGGCCACAAGAUUCAAAAAUCUUCUUUAUUUUCUUAAACUUUGUGCCAAUUCAAAGUAGGUCAUUCUUUUUUAAUGGAGGGAGUAUCAUUCUUUUUUGAACUUGAAAUAUCAAGGUGAAUUUUUUAUGGAGAGGAUUCGGAUGAACACCUUCGCCCCUAAAUCCAACCUUGUACAUAAUGACCAAGUUUUUUUUUCCUUCUAGCAUGCAUCAUGUGUGUCAUCACUUCACCUGAUACUUCUAAAUCUAGCUUGGUACUCUUCUUUUAAUCAUCUACUUGCUUUCUUACAACAAUUGGAAUUCUAACAAAAUAUUUGCCAUCACUCCAUGACAAACUUCUGAAGGUAAAUUUACCACUUUUUGGGCAAGUGGAUGUGAUCUUUACCUCAAAGGAAAUCUUGGUUAUCUUGGAAGUAAACUUCAACACAU